UACGAAGGGGCUAGCGUUGCUCGGAAUGACUGGGCGUAAAGGGCGCGUAGGCGGUUCGUACAGUCAGACGUGAAAUUCCCGGGCUCAACCUGGGGCUGCGUUUGAUACGUGCGGGCUUGAGUUCGGAAGAGGGUCGUGGAAUUCCCAGUGUAGAGGUGAAAUUCGUAGAUAUUGGGAAGAACACCGGUGGCGAAGGCGGCGACCUGGUCCGAUACUGACGCUGAGGCGCGAAAGCGUGGGGAGCAAACAGG
RNAcentral lists this ribosomal RNA (251 nucleotides) under uncultured bacterium. RNAcentral's name for it is "partial 16S ribosomal RNA". It matches the Rfam family "Bacterial small subunit ribosomal RNA", at positions 524 to 776 of the family's 1533-position model. The record is from RNAcentral.